This 82-nucleotide transfer RNA is filed under the name Rhodococcus sp. NKCM2511. Its description in RNAcentral is "tRNA-Glu". RNAcentral also lists the same sequence under 1 other name. Lineage: Bacteria; Bacillati; Actinomycetota; Actinomycetes; Mycobacteriales; Nocardiaceae. The record is from RNAcentral.
CGAUUCCCAUCGCGGGGGUCGGCGCCGUCGCCGUUUUCGUCGGUGAUCGGUGCCGCCUCGGUUCGACUCGGGCGUCGAUCGA